AGGGACAGGAGCACACACCAUGAUUUCACACAUCCAGCUGAUCUGGCCCCUGGCAUUCUGUGUCGCAGGUAUCAGUGGGGACAUCACCAUGACCCAGUCUCCCCCGGUGCUGUCAGUGGGACUGGGCCAGACCGCAACCAUCACCUGUAAGGCCAGUCAAAGCAUUAGCAGCAACCUUGCUUGGUACCAGCAGCGAGAAGGUCAGAAACCCUCUCUCCUGAUCUACAAUGCAGCAACUCGAUUCACAGGAGUCUCCGAUCGAUUCACCGGCAGUGGAUCAGGGACCAGUUUCACCCUGACAAUCAGCAACGUUCAGAAUGAGGAUGUCGCUGACUAUUACUGUCAGCAGUAUAGCAGCUACCCUCGACACAGUGAUACAGAGCCAUACAAAAACCUCAACACGCACAACACCACCUCCUGGACUGACACAUCGCACAGUCACAUAAAAUGUAUAAUAAUGAACACACAGUCUCACUGCCUGAAGUGA
Hemiscyllium ocellatum (epaulette shark) is the source of this 487-nucleotide non-coding RNA. The record is from the annotation of a RefSeq genome assembly. NCBI's taxonomy places the organism in Eukaryota, Metazoa, Chordata, Chondrichthyes, Orectolobiformes, Hemiscylliidae.